RNAcentral lists this ribosomal RNA (448 nucleotides) under uncultured bacterium. RNAcentral describes it as "bacterial SSU rRNA". It matches the Rfam family "Bacterial small subunit ribosomal RNA", at positions 355 to 825 of the family's 1533-position model. The record is from RNAcentral.
UGGGGAAUAUUGGACAAUGGGCGCAAGCCUGAUCCAGCCAUGCCGCGUGAGUGAUGAAGGCCCUAGGGUUGUAAAGCUCUUUCGACGGGGACGAUAAUGACGGUACCCGUAGAAGAAGCCCCGGCUAACUUCGUGCCAGCAGCCGCGGUAAUACGAAGGGGGCUAGCGUUGUUCGGAAUCACUGGGCGUAAAGCGCACGCAGGCGGAUCGUUAAGUCAGGGGUGAAAUCCCGAGGCUCAACCUCGGAACUGCCUUUGAUACUGGCGAUCUUUGAGUCCGGGAGAGGUGAGUGGAACUCCGAGUGUAGAGGUGAAAUUCGUAGAUAUUCGGAAGAACACCAGUGGCGAAGGCGGCUCACUGGCCCGGUACUGACGCUCAGGUGCGAAAGCGUGGGGAGCAAACAGGAUUAGAUACCCCAGUAGUCCCUGAGCGGGCUGGCAAGGCGCAU